This 85-nucleotide transfer RNA is filed under the name Streptomyces mobaraensis. Its description in RNAcentral is "tRNA-Tyr". It matches the Rfam family "tRNA". Rfam says of the family: Transfer RNA (tRNA) molecules are approximately 80 nucleotides in length. Their secondary structure includes four short double-helical elements and three loops (D, anti-codon, and T loops). Lineage: Bacteria; Bacillati; Actinomycetota; Actinomycetes; Kitasatosporales; Streptomycetaceae. RNAcentral also lists the same sequence under 2 other names. The record is from RNAcentral.
GGCGGUGUGCCCGAGUGGCCAAUGGGAGCGGACUGUAAAUCCGUCGGCUUAGCCUACCCAGGUUCGAAUCCUGGCGCCGCCACCG